Molecule: ribosomal RNA, 385 nt
Filed under: uncultured bacterium
Lineage: Bacteria
Description: bacterial SSU rRNA
Rfam family: Bacterial small subunit ribosomal RNA
Source: RNAcentral
GACGAACGCUGGCGGCGUGCUUAACACAUGCAAGUCGAACGGAAAGGCCCUGCUUGCAGGGUACUCGAGUGGCGAACGGUGAGUAACACGUGGGUGAUCUGCCCUGCACUUCGGGAUAAGCCUGGGAAACUGGGUCUAAUACCGGAUAGGAGCCAUUUUUAGUGUGAUGGUUGGAAAGUUUUUUCGGUGUAGGAUGAGCUCGCGGCCUAUCAGCUUGUUGGUGGGGUAAUGGCCUACCAAGGCGGCGACGGGUAGCCGGCCUGAGAGGGUGGACGGCCACAUUGGGACUGAGAUACGGCCCAGACUCCUACGGGAGGCAGCAGUGGGGAAUAUUGCACAAUGGGCGCAAGCCUGAUGCAGCGACGCCGCGUGGGGGAUGACGGCC